RNAcentral lists this ribosomal RNA (372 nucleotides) under Triticum aestivum (bread wheat). RNAcentral's name for it is "partial small subunit ribosomal RNA". Lineage: Eukaryota; Viridiplantae; Streptophyta; Magnoliopsida; Poales; Poaceae. The record is from RNAcentral.
UUCGAUCGAAGGAACAAUCAGGAUAUAUCGGAUUGGGCAAACAAACACCGUGCGUGGAUAGAAAUUUGGAAUCAAAGAGACACGUUAGUGCAAUCAGAGAAUAGACCUCACAAUCAGUCAGCAUAUCAGAAGUACCAAGUGUGGUAUGUGGAUCGUUACCGGUUAAAGCUGAAGCCUGGUUGGACUCAUGAGGAGUGGUCGGAGUUGGUGUCUGAAGACCCGGAGACUGCACAAGGUUAUCAAACCUUCAACAUGGCUGUGAGAGACACCAGAGGGGCUCACGUUGACUAUGCACCGAUGCAUGAUGAAAUGGUAGUCUGUUUGACCUAUUCUAACAUACUUGCAUCAUGUUGUCUUCUUUCAAAUACAUAA